AGAGAGUUAUAUAUUUUCAGUAAUGAAAUACACAUGAGCCUUUACAAAGGGAGAAAGUCCCUUUUAUAUACUAAGGGACCUUCCUCGAAAAAAUACAAAAAAGUAGAAGGGUUGGUGGCCUUGAUAUACGAGUGUCAGAGCUCGAUGUGACAUUACGGUUAGUCGCAUCACUUGGUCCGUUUAUUGACUGAGACCGGCCCUUCUUAAGUCGACCAUGCCAAGGCCACCUUAUUUAGUGAGGCCGUAUGUGGAUACUACGUGGACGUGGAUAACCAAAUUUGCCCAAUAUAGAUAGUCCCUCUGUUUAUUGGGGACGCAGUCGAAAGGCGUCUCCAAUGGACAAUGAAUAUUACAGGGACGUGGAAAACCAAAUUUGCCCGUUACACUUCUAUUCAUUUACUCAAGUCUCUCUCACUUACUAGUCCUUUAAUUAAUAACUUUAAACUAAUAAAGUUAGCGGAAGAAUAUUUUACAAGUUGCAUAUAUAUAGAGUGAAAGAAUGCAAACAAAAAGGGAAACUUCGGCAUGUGUGCUAAGAAAUUUCCAAGUUAUAGUUGAAACGAUUGGGAAGGUAUAUAAUAAGUGUAGAUAUUCUUAAUUAGUGGCGGAACUAGAAAUUUUACUAAGAGAUGUCAAAAUAUUAAAAAAUAAAUACACUGUAAGAAAAAUCGGAUGUGGUUCCGCCACUGUUCUUAUUGGUGUGAGAUUUUUGUAGAAAAAUCAUACAAGCUUGAACCAAAACGGAUAAUAUCACUCUAUGUUAAAAGUAUGUGGGCUGGUUCAGCCCAACAAAUGAUAUCAAAGCUAGGUUCAACAGGAUAAGUAUGAUGAUGCCAAAGUGAUGUGCGGGGCUCGAUUUGCUUACCCUUACGAGUUUGAAGGAGUGCACACAAGAAGAAGUUAGAUACGGACUUCGGUUGCCAUAAAUAUUCUAAUAAUAUGAGUAGUACACAUUGAAUCCUGAAAAUUGGCUUGUGAAACUUUGUUCGAGGAAGAAAACUAUGGAUCGUGGUAAUGGCCACGUAAAAUUUAAUUUGAGGGAAAAAUUCUCACCUUGAUAGCUUAGAAGAUUAGAAAGCAACAUAUAAGGUUUAUGAAUUUUU
This 1103-nucleotide long non-coding RNA is filed under the name Nicotiana benthamiana. Its description in RNAcentral is "long non-coding RNA (NBEN_LNC022127)". Lineage: Eukaryota; Viridiplantae; Streptophyta; Magnoliopsida; Solanales; Solanaceae. The record is from RNAcentral.